AUGUUCAAGUUCUUGGUUGAUAAAGCAUGGCAGAAUAUUUUUGGUUGGGCAGACCGGCCUUUGUCCAGAGCAGGGACUGAGACAUUGCUGAAAUCUAAAACUCAAGCAAUCCCCACCUUUAUUUCGAGCUGUUUCCGCCUACCGGUAGCAAUUUGUGAAAAAUUCAGGCAAAUUGUGGCUGAUCAAUGGUGGGGUCGCGAGGAUGGCAAGAAGAAGAUGCACUGGCGCUCGUGGGACUGGCUUUCCACUCCAAAAGCUCUCGGUGGCAUGGGUUUCAGGGAUUUGGCGCUCUUUAACCAGGCAAUGCUUGGUAAGCAGGGCUGGCGCCUCCUGACUGAGCCCGGAUCACUCUAUGCACAGGUCCUAAAGGGAAGGUAUUUUCCUUUCACUGACUCUUGGAAUGCUUCGGCUCCCCGCGCGGCAUCGGCCACUUGGCGGGCCAUUCUUCAUGGCCGAGAUCUUCUGAAGCAGGGGGUGCAAUGGGGCCUUGGUGAUGGCCGGAGCACACAUAUUCUGUCUGAUCAUUGGAUUCCUUCCACCCCUCCGGCCUUGCUGCAGCCUUUGACCCCAAUCCCAGCUUCAGCUACGGUUCAUUGCUUGUUUGAUGAGGAAAACGAAUGCUGGAAUGAGGAUACGGUGAGAGCUUUCUUCCCUCAUGAGGUUGCUAAUGAUAUUCUCAAAGUUCACAUCAACUGGGAGGGUGGUCCGGACUUUGCUAGGUGGCCUUUCACCAAGUUUGGAGAGUAUACUGUCUGGUCGGCCUAUAACAUGGCCAGGACUUGCCGUUUCCUGUCUGAUCGCAAUGCUAAUGGCGGGGGUCAGCCCUCGAACUGGGCACUUGAGGACAGAUUGUGGAAGAAGUUAUGGAAGGUGCAAGCUCCAAAUAAAAUGAAGAUUGUGCUGUGGAAGUUAGCUCAUGACUGUUUACCUUCGGGUGCUCAAAUGCUGCGUCGUCAGAUACCGACGAGGACGGACUGUUUUUUCUGUGGGCGUCCGGAGAGCAUUGAGCAUGCUCUUCUCUUCUGUGUCCACGCUUAG
Molecule: ribosomal RNA, 1038 nt
Filed under: Triticum aestivum (bread wheat)
Lineage: Eukaryota; Viridiplantae; Streptophyta; Magnoliopsida; Poales; Poaceae
Description: partial small subunit ribosomal RNA
Source: RNAcentral